AAUGGAUAGCGCUAGUGCCCGCCGGCAACGGCGGGCGGACGAGGAAGAGGAGUAUCGAACAUGUCAGCGGAUGCCUCUCGGCAGCUUCAGUCGUUACAUGGCGGAAAAGCAUUGCGGCAACGGAAUGGACAAUGUCGUC
This 139-nucleotide non-coding RNA is filed under the name Megasphaera stantonii. RNAcentral describes it as "glmS glucosamine-6-phosphate activated ribozyme". It matches the Rfam family "glmS glucosamine-6-phosphate activated ribozyme aptamer", at positions 10 to 154 of the family's 167-position model. From Rfam's summary of the family: This entry contains a glucosamine-6-phosphate activated ribozyme that is found in the mRNA for GlmS. GlmS is an enzyme that uses fructose-6-phosphate and glutamine to generate glucosamine-6-phosphate. The record is from RNAcentral. Lineage: Bacteria; Bacillati; Bacillota; Negativicutes; Veillonellales; Veillonellaceae.